CCUACGGGAGGCAGCAGUAGGGAAUAUUGCUCAAUGGGGGAAACCCUGAAGCAGCAACGCCGCGUGGAGGAUGAAGGUUUUAGGAUUGUAAACUCCUUUUGUGAGAGAAGAUAAUGACGGUAUCCCACGAAUAAGCACCGGCUAACUCCGUGCCAGCAGCCGCGGUCAUACGGAGGGUGCAAGCGUUACUCGGAAUCACUGGGCGUAAAGAGUGCGCAGGCGGGCUUGUAAGGCAGAUGUGAAAUCCUGUAGCUUAACUACAGAACUGCAUUUGAAACUAUGAAUCUAGAGUGUGGGAGAGGUAGGUGGAAUGCUUGGUGUAGAGGGAAAAUCCGUAGAUAUCAAGAGGAAUACUCAUUGCGAAGGCGACCUACUGGAACAUUACUGACGCUCAUGCACGAAAGCGUGGGGAGCAAACAGGAUUAGAUACCCGAGUAGUC
Molecule: ribosomal RNA, 440 nt
Filed under: uncultured bacterium
Lineage: Bacteria
Description: partial 16S ribosomal RNA
Rfam family: Bacterial small subunit ribosomal RNA
Source: RNAcentral